Small nucleolar RNA from Mesocricetus auratus (golden hamster), 73 nucleotides. Lineage: Eukaryota; Metazoa; Chordata; Mammalia; Rodentia; Cricetidae. The record is from Ensembl.
UGGGCCAAUGAUGAGGAGCAUGGGGUUUCUGAACGAGGACAGUGAUUAAACCCUUAUGAAAUCUGAGGACUAU